GCCGUCAUCUCCUUCCUCUCGCCUUCCCUAUAAAUAGUCAUUGCUCCGUCCUUCAUACACUUCGCUCAAAAGCAGAAAUCAACCUGCAGUUUCGGCGGCCGCAAAAAUCUUCGGCUUUGAGAUUACGGUGAUACUUAUUCAUUGGAAGGUCAAGUGCUGAUCUGAAAAAGACACAUCAGCACAACACAAUAUCAUAAGCUAAAGAAACCAUCUGCCACUUGUAAUCCCUCCUUGAAAGCAAUCAAUUUCAAGAAGAUACACUUGGUGGUGUUCAUUUUAGUGUUACUUUUUUGCUACUUGGUUCUUUUAUCUUAUCAUUGUGACUUUUUCCUGGAUUUUGUACAGAUAGGGUGGGUUUAAAUCUUGUUGUGGUGCUUAGGAGAUUGAUUACAUUUUAAUGAGUAACUGUGAGAUGAAUUAAUCAUAGUUCAUAUCCUAGGCCUUUUUGGAAGAGCACCUAAGUUAAUUCUGAUCCCUGCCAUUUUCCUUACUAAUAUGUUUUGAACAAUUUAUUUCAUUUUGUUUACUUUAUAUUAAAUAUUUAUGCAUUUUUUGAUGGACUUCAAAUAAUUUUUUUUUGGAAAUGGUUGUGUGCUUAAUUGCUCAUGAAUGAUCAAAUGUUGAUACAAAAUAGGCACACAUUAACUCAUAAACCCCACAACAACUUGCUAGCCCUUCAAGAAAGCAAUAAAUUUUGAAAGUGCACUGGUGGUAGUUAUUUAAAAUGGACUAAGCUUAGCUCGUAUAUCCAUAGGUUAUUUGCAACAUUGCUAAGUUGAUUUUGAUCCCUGCAAUUUUUUUCUUCUUUUUCCUCCUAGUGUCACUUAUCAUAUCUCUUGGUCGUGUUUUUUAUGCAAAAAAAGUUUCUAAUGGUUCUUAAUUUUGUUGGAUAAUUAAAAAGGAAUGUGCUUAUGGACGGUCAAGUGUUGAUUUGAAACAGGAUCAUCAGCACACAACAAUAGCAUAAGCUAAAGAAACCAUUGCCUCUCGCUAUCCCUCUUUGAAAGCAAUCAAUUUCAUGGAGGGUACACUAGAUGGCAUUCAUUUUUAUUUUUCAUCUCCCUCUUUUAAAUAUCUCUGGACAACCUAUAUUUCUUGGAUUUUGUAUGUAUCAAGUUUCUAGUCAUAUAUUAUUGAGCAGUAUUAAUCAUACCACUUCAAUUGAUCUUGUUCAAUGGCAAUGGCUUGGCAUAUAAUUUUAUGCAAGUUCUAGUAUCAUAUAUUGAUGAUUACUAAUAUACCGAAUUUGGUCACAACAAUUUUUUUCUGUCUUCCACAAUCUGACAGCAUGUAUUAUUUCGUGUCUUGGUAUUUGUUGCUUGUUAUCUCCGGCUAGUGACUAGUAUUUUUUUUUUUUUUGCAUGUGGAGCCUUGGCACAAUGAUAAAAUUAUUGUCAUGUGACAAAAAGGUCACGGGUUCGAAUUAUGAAAAUAGUCUCUUAUAAAAAACAGGAUAAGGCUGCGUACAAAUGGAUCCUUCCUUGGGAUUUUGCAUGGAGGGAGUUUCGUGCACAGGGUUAUUUUUUUUAAAAGGAGAGCUUUGGUGCAACGGUAAAGUUGUUGUCAUGCGACCAGAAGGUCACGGGUUCGAAUCCUGAAAAUAAUCUCAUGUAAAAAACUCAAGAACCCUGCAAGAAAUAGCUAUGGAAUCAAAAUACAAAGGGGAUUGGGCACUUAUCUUCUAAAUUCUGCAUCCUGAAGUGCUCCAGAACGUAGCUCUUUUGAGAUCUGAAAGAAACCUUUUGAUGUUUCAAGGCAGCUUCGACUAUUUCUUUCUUCAAUAAUCGAGGGAUAACUGUUCGUAAGAUUAAAGCGUUUUGUUCAGAGAAUUUGAGUAUGUUGUUUAAAUUGUAUGAAUUAUAACACAAUAAAGUUGCAGAAAUUUGAUACAAUAUUAAUGUCAAACUGUAUGUUCUCCAGAA
Molecule: long non-coding RNA, 1922 nt
Organism: Zingiber officinale
Lineage: Eukaryota; Viridiplantae; Streptophyta; Magnoliopsida; Zingiberales; Zingiberaceae
Exons: 3
Source: RefSeq, a predicted model, not a curated record